Molecule: ribosomal RNA, 549 nt
Filed under: Triticum aestivum (bread wheat)
Lineage: Eukaryota; Viridiplantae; Streptophyta; Magnoliopsida; Poales; Poaceae
Description: partial small subunit ribosomal RNA
Source: RNAcentral
AUGGUGCUCGCCGCCCUCGCCCAGCUGCUGGCGAGCAAUGAAAAGCCGCGGCGAGGUGGCUCGGCUCCGGGGCGGGUGAAAGCAAAGAACUGGCAUCGUCUCGAAGGCUACUGCAUGCAUUGGAAAUGGAAGAAUUGCCCAUUUGCUUGGCAGGGGAUGUACAAAGGUGCCAAAGGCGGUUGCAGUGUGGUACUUGAGGCGGUGGCCACACGGGACCUCUGGAUUUGGCACUCCUUCUUUGGUAUGCCAGGAACUCACAAUAACAUCAACGUGCUGCAGUGCUCUCCUGUCUUUGCCAAGCUUGUUGAAGGUUAUUCUCCUCCGGUGAACUUCGAGAUCAAUCGGCGGCACUACAACAAGGGGUACUAUCUAGCUGAUGGCAUCUAUCCGAGAUGGUCGACAUUUGUGAAGACGAUCUCAAACCCUGUGCCAGGAGGCAAGAACGCCUGGUUUGCGAAGAUUCAGGAGGCUUGCAGGAAGGAUGUCGAGCGGGCAUUUGGUGUGCUCCAAUCUCGAUUUGCUGUUGUCCGGUAUCCCGCUCAGACCUGA